Molecule: RNA transcript, 3113 nt
Organism: Onychostoma macrolepis
Lineage: Eukaryota; Metazoa; Chordata; Actinopteri; Cypriniformes; Cyprinidae
Exons: 6
Source: RefSeq, a predicted model, not a curated record
GCAACUCUCCAGUGUGUGUUUGUGUUUGCGCUCUGGAGAGCGUCGAAAGUCCCUAGUUCGUGUUUUUGUAGCGUUGAGCACAGUGUAGCCAAUCACAGACAUAUCUGUUGUUUUCUCAAACACCUCCGAUUGUUACUGUCCACUGAAUUACAUUAAAACAGAACAGAGCGCCCCCUGGGGGAACAUAUCCGCACUGCUCUUAGUGGAAGACCAACACGACGACUCAUAUUUGCGGGUUCUGUUUGCGUCCUGGGUGCGUAAAAGACUUUCUGAACAAAAUACUGUAUAAAAGUGCAUUAACGUGUCCUUUGUAUAGACUAACAAAAAAUGUCUUUACGAUGCUUGACGUUGGUCGCACUCUGCGUUGUGUGUUCAUCUCCACAGAAGCUGUUUUAGGGGAAGAAGUGAAAAAUGUAGUUGGUGUAGUCGGUGGUACAGUGUCUUUUCAUCCAACCAAAGUAAAUCUUCCUGUCACCAGCAUCACAUGGAAACAUGUUAGUCUUUCUACUGUCAAUGCGAUUGAAUGGGACGUUGAUGAUGGUGUUAUCAUCCCGAAUCAGAGAUUCAAAGACAUCACAACUCUUGAUGAGAAAAUUGGACAAAUCACUAUAACUAAUUUAAAAGUCGAGCAUAGUGGAGAGUAUACCAUUGACAUCAACAGUAAACAGCAGGGACAAAGAUUCAGCUUGGAAGUUAUGGAGCGGGUCCCCAAACCUAAGAUAACUGUAGAGGAGAGCAGUAACCCUGAUGUUGUGUAUUUAAUAUGUGAGUACAGUGGAACGAUCAUCUGGAAGAAUUCUGCUGGAGAAACACUGGAGGGCAAUAAGAACCAUAAGCCAGGAGAGUUUAUCACAGUCAAAAACACAAGAAAUCCAGAAAACUACUACACCUGCACACUAGAGAACGCAGUGAAGAUGUGAAGAGAGCAGUGGGUGGGACAGUUUCCUUUAGUCCAGACACAUUAGAAUCUCCUGUCACCAGCAUCACAUGGAAACAUGGGAAGAAGUGAAAAAUGUAGUUGGUGUAGUCGGUGGUACAGUGUCUUUUCAUCCAACCAAAGUAAAUCUUCCUGUCUUCAGCAUCACAUGGAAACAUGUUAGUCUUUCUACUGUCAAUGCGAUUGAAUGGGACGUUGAUGAUGGUGUUAUCAUCCCGAAUCAGAGAUUCAAAGACAUCACAACUCUUGAUGAGAAAAUUGGACAAAUCACUAUAACUAAUUUAAAAGUCGAGCAUAGUGGAGAUUAUACCAUUGACAUCAACAGUAAAGAGCAGGGACAAAGAUUCAGCUUGGAAGUUAUGGAGCGGGUCCCCAAACCUAAGAUAACUGUAGAGGAGAGCAGUAACCCUGAUGUUGUGUAUUUAAUAUGUGAGUACAGUGGAACGAUCAUCUGGAAGAAUUCUGCUGGAGAAACACUGGAGGGCAAUAAGAACCAUAAGCCAGGAGAGUUUAUCACAGUCAAAAACACAAGAAAUCCAGAAAACUACUACACCUGCACACUAGAGAACGCAGUGAGUGAGGAGACCAGUGAACCGGUCUAUGAGAGAGAUCUGUUUAAAGAGUAGACUGCCUUUACUAGUACAAUAUUAUUAAUCAGAGAGGAAAUGUUUAACAUAUACAGUAAAUUGAUGUGGUUAUUAUCACAAUUUUCCUGAUUAUAAUUCCCUGUCAUGAGACUAUACUGUUUUAUCUUUUAAAACAUUUGAAAUGUGUCCUUCGAAAAAUGAGAUAAGGUCAAAGAUGCUGACAGACUCUUGGAGUUUGAAUGAAUGCACAAACUUAGAAUUUUUUUAUUUUAUUUUUUUUUAACUUGUUGCAGGACGUUCCCUAUGUGGUUUACUAUGAGGAAUAAACAUAAACAUAACAGAGAAUGAAUAUUUCUCAAGAUGGGUUUCUCUUUAAAAGUCGAUUUCCGUUUAGACUCUAAACUUACAUCACCGCUCUGAUUAUUUUGCAUGUCUCUCUUACUUAACACACCUGCUUCAGAUCAUCAGCUCGUUAGAAGAGAAGAGAGCUCCAUGCAUGAUGUGUUCUGAUUGACGGGUCCCUACACAGGGUUCAUUGCUACCUCCUGAGCGCGGGAAAUCAGUUGAAGUUUACUUCACUUCGGGACAUUCAUUCACAGAUUUGCACAACACCACUGCCUGCAGUGUCUUCACACACAGACGAAACUUAUUAGAUAAGUGCAGAGGUGGACAAUAACACAGUACAUUCACUUGAGUAUUGUACUUAAGUACACUUUUUGAGUAUCUGUACUUUACAUGAGUAUUAUUUUUCUGGAAACUUACAGUACGACUUUAACUUCACUACAUUUGAAAGACAAAUAUCGUACUUUUCACUUCACUACAUUUCUAUCGAGAAGUAGAAAGACGUUACAUUGUAGCAGCUUUGAAAGUCAGUGAGUGAUUUUUUUUAUACAGCCUAUCAGUUAUCGCUCUUGUAAGGUUACGUGAAGUGAUUUCCGAGCAUUUUAUGAACACUGAGUUGCAAAUGUGAUAUUUAUUUACAACAAUUUGAUAAUAAGUUAAUAUUGUGUUAUAUAUUAGGCACAAUAUUGCCUGAUUUUGCAAAAUUGUGUUAAUGAAAAUAUUACCUAUAAAGCCACAGUUGUGUGUCUCCUUACAAAAAACAAUAAGUUGCUUCAGAGGCAUAAGGUAUUGCUAGUAUCACAUACAACAAUAAUAAAACAGUGCAUUGACAUAAAAAAGGAAAUUUUAUUUUGCUACUUAAGUACGUUUAAAAUCAAUUACUUCUGUACUUUUACUUAAGUAAAAAUCAGUCUUUACAACUUUCACUUGUAAUGGAGUAAUAUUUGACCAGCAAUAUCUAUACUUUCACUCAAGUAAUGAAAUUGUGUACUUUGUCCACCUUUACAUAAGUGUGAAGUGUGACAUAAUAUAACUCUGUAAAAACAAUUUAAAUUCACGUCUCACACACUUUAAUGCUCUUUGAAUGGAACAUAUACUCUCCCUUCGAAGUGGAAUAUGUGAAUAUCCAGAAUAUCCUGUGAAGUCCAUUUUGCAGGGAACUUACAGUCGAAUAGAACAAACAUCUGAAGUGAUGAGAGAGAUAUACAUAAUGUGCAGAGCGGGGGGUCGCGAAGACUGAAAUUGAG